ACGGCCCAGACUCCUACGGGAGGCAGCAGUGGGGAAUAUUGCACAAUGGGCGCAAGCCUGAUGCAGCGACGCCGCGUGGGGGAUGACGGCCUUCGGGUUGUAAACCUCUUUCAGUAGGGAAGAAGCGAAAGUGACGGUACCUGCAGAAGAAGCACCGGCUAACUACGUGCCAGCAGCCGCGGUAAUACGUAGGGUGCGAGCGUUGUCCGGA
RNAcentral lists this ribosomal RNA (211 nucleotides) under Condylostoma magnum. RNAcentral's name for it is "partial Bacterial small subunit ribosomal RNA". It matches the Rfam family "Bacterial small subunit ribosomal RNA", at positions 326 to 549 of the family's 1533-position model. The record is from RNAcentral. Lineage: Eukaryota; Ciliophora; Heterotrichea; Heterotrichida; Condylostomatidae.